UGGGGAAUAUUGCACAAUGGGCGAAAGCCUGAUGCAGCAACGCCGCGUGAACGAUGAAGGUCUUCGGAUCGUAAAGUUCUGUUGCAGGGGAAGAUAAUGACGGUACCCUGUGAGGAAGCCCCGGCUAACUACGUGCCAGCAGCCGCGGUAAUACGUAGGGGGCUAGCGUUAUCCGGAUUUACUGGGCGUAAAGGGUGCGUAGGUGGUCCUUCAAGUCGGUGGUUAAAGGCUACGGCUCAACCGUAGUAAGCCGCCGAAACUGGAGGACUUGAGUGCAGGAGAGGAAAGUGGAAUUCCCAGUGUAGCGGUGAAAUGCGUAGAUAUAUGGAGGAACACCGGUGGCGAAAGCGGCUCUCUGGCUUGUAACUGACGCUGAGGCUCGAAAGCGUGGGGAGCAAACAGGAUUAGAUACCCUGGUAGUCCACGCCGUAAACGAUGAGUGCUAGGUGUUGGGUCCUUUCCGGGACUCAGUGCCGCAGCUAACGCAUUAAGCACUCCGCCUGGGGAGUACGACCGCAAGGUUG
Molecule: ribosomal RNA, 524 nt
Filed under: uncultured bacterium
Lineage: Bacteria
Description: bacterial SSU rRNA
Rfam family: Bacterial small subunit ribosomal RNA
Source: RNAcentral